Lotus japonicus is the source of this 892-nucleotide long non-coding RNA. RefSeq lists it as uncharacterized. Lineage: Eukaryota; Viridiplantae; Streptophyta; Magnoliopsida; Fabales; Fabaceae. The transcript has 3 exons. The record is from RefSeq and is a predicted model, not a curated record.
GACCCCACUUACUCCUCUCUCUCUCACACUCACAGACUCACGCUCUCACCCUCUCACUCACGAUUCACGCUCUCACCCUCUCGCACUCUCACUAGGUCUGGCCGUCAUCACGGCACGGCGCACCACCACCAUGCCACGCCACGCCACGCCACCACCGUCCACCAGUCCAGCCGCCCCUCUGCGGCUCUAUCCUAGGUCUGGUUGAUUUCCUGAAACUUAAAUCUAAGUGUUUUUGUUCUCUCGCCCAACGUACCCAUCGCGCCGUUCGCCGCGCCUCUCAGGACUCAUCGCUGUGCCGCGCCUCCGAGGCUCCGCCGCGCCAUGCCAGACUUCCAGGACCCAUCGCUGUGCCUCGUCUUUCCGCGCCUCCUAACACCCACCGGCCACCGCCUUGUGUCGCGCCUCCUGACACCCACCGCCUUGUUGCGCCACUCUCCUCUUUUCACUCAGGCAUCAUUUGGUGAAGAAACUUCAAGAUUUGGUGAAGAGCCCUUUUCCUGUUAUUUCCAUCAUUCAGGAACUAUAAGUGACAUUCUUGUGGAAGAUGGAAAACCUCAGCCGGUCAGCCCCCAUUUGUGAUUGAACCAUAGAGAUUUGAAGUUGAGCUUCCCCUUUGUAAUCUGAUUGAGUUGUAUAAUUUUUGUUUUUCUUACUCAUAUCCUUCAGUAUUUUGAACUUUCGGUGUUUUACUUUCAUGUAAAAGAUCCCAUAAAACUUGAUCAUUAUAUAGUUCCAUUGAUGCUUAGUGUUCCUCCUAUGUAAAGUGUGUUUGUUAGUUACUUACAUUGAAAGUGAUGUAUUCAAUAACAUUGAUUCUAAGCUUGUUGUUCAACGAUUUCAGAAUAUGAAAUCGCGUAGAGGACAACUAUGAUUUGUAUAAUUUAUGAUGUAU